This 253-nucleotide ribosomal RNA is filed under the name uncultured bacterium. RNAcentral's name for it is "partial 16S ribosomal RNA". It matches the Rfam family "Bacterial small subunit ribosomal RNA", at positions 524 to 776 of the family's 1533-position model. The record is from RNAcentral.
UACGUAGGGUGCAAGCGUUGUCCGGAAUUAUUGGGCGUAAAGGGCUCGUAGGCGGUCCGUCACGUCGGGAGUGAAAACUUGGGGCUUAACCCCAAGCCUGCUUCCGAUACGGGCGGACUAGAGGUAGGCAGGGGAGAACGGAAUUCCUGGUGUAGCGGUGGAAUGCGCAGAUAUCAGGAGGAACACCAAUAGCGAAGGCAGCUCGCUGGGACGUUACUGACACUGAGAUGCGAAAGCGUGGGGAGCAAACAGG